UAGGGAAUCUUCGGCAAUGAGGGCAACCCUGACCGAGCAACGCCGCGUGAGUGAAGAAGGUUUUCGGAUCGUAAAGCUCUGUUGUAAGUCAAGAACGGGUGUGAGAGUGGAAAGUUCACACUGUGACGGUAGCUUACCAGAAAGGGACGGCUAACUACGUGCCAGCAGCCGCGGUAAUACGUAGGUCCCGAGCGUUGUCCGGAUUUAUUGGGCGUAAAGCGAGCGCAGGCGGUUUGAUAAGUCUGAAGUUAAAGGCUGUGGCUCAACCAUAGUUCGCUUUGGAAACUGUCAAACUUGAGUGCAGAAGGGGAGAGUGGAAUUCCAUGUGUAGCGGUGAAAUGCGUAGAUAUAUGGAGGAACACCGGUGGCGAAAGCGGCUCUCUGGUCUGUAACUGACGCUGAGGCUCGAAAGCGUGGGGAGCGAACAGGAUUAGAUACCCUGGUAGUCCACGCCGUAAACGAUGAGUGCUAGGUGUUGGAUCCUUUCCGGGAUUCAGUGCCGCAGCUAACGCAUUAAGCACUCCGCCUGGGGAGUACGACCGCAAGGUUGAAACUCUAAAGUGAAUUGAC
RNAcentral lists this ribosomal RNA (570 nucleotides) under uncultured bacterium. RNAcentral describes it as "partial 16S ribosomal RNA". It matches the Rfam family "Bacterial small subunit ribosomal RNA", at positions 355 to 914 of the family's 1533-position model. The record is from RNAcentral.